This 483-nucleotide ribosomal RNA is filed under the name uncultured bacterium. RNAcentral describes it as "partial 16S ribosomal RNA". It matches the Rfam family "Bacterial small subunit ribosomal RNA", at positions 28 to 507 of the family's 1533-position model. The record is from RNAcentral.
GACGAACGCUGGCGGCGUGCUUAACACAUGCAAGUCGAACGCUGAAGCUCAGCUUUUGUUGGGUGGAUGAGUGGCGAACGGGUGAGUAACACGUGAGUAACCUGCCCCCUUCUUGGGGAUAACGCCCGGAAACGGGUGCUAAUACUGGAUAUUCACUGGUCUUCGCAUGGGGGUUGGUGGAAAGGGUUUUUCUGGUGGGGGAUGGGCUCGCGGCCUAUCAGCUUGUUGGUGGGGUGAUGGCCUACCAAGGCUUUGACGGGUAGCCGGCCUGAGAGGGUGACCGGUCACAUUGGGACUGAGAUACGGCCCAGACUCCUACGGGAGGCAGCAGUGGGGAAUAUUGCACAAUGGGCGCAAGCCUGAUGCAGCGACGCCGCGUGAGGGAUGGAGGCCUUCGGGUUGUGAACCUCUUUCGCUCAUGGUCAAGCCGCAACAAUGGUUGUGGUGAGGGUAGUGGGUAAAGAAGCGCCGGCUAACUACGUG